This 253-nucleotide ribosomal RNA is filed under the name uncultured bacterium. Its description in RNAcentral is "partial 16S ribosomal RNA". It matches the Rfam family "Bacterial small subunit ribosomal RNA", at positions 524 to 776 of the family's 1533-position model. The record is from RNAcentral.
UACGAAGGGUGCGAGCGUUAUCCGGAUUUAUUGGGCUUAAAGGGAGCGUAGGCGGUCUUAUAAGUCAGUGGUGAAAUCUCGGUGCUUAACAACGAACGUGCCAUUGAUACUGUAGGACUUGAGUACAGUUGAGGUUGGCGGAAUGUGUCAUGUAGCGGUGAAAUGCUUAGAUAUUAGAUAGAACACCAAUUGCGAAGGCAGCUCACUGGACAAUUAUUGACGCUGAGGCACGAAAGCGUGGGGAUCAAACAGG